This is a long non-coding RNA of Strongylocentrotus purpuratus (purple sea urchin), 285 nucleotides long. RefSeq lists it as uncharacterized. The record is from RefSeq and is a predicted model, not a curated record. Lineage: Eukaryota; Metazoa; Echinodermata; Echinoidea; Camarodonta; Strongylocentrotidae. The transcript has 2 exons.
ACAGUAGGCCCUAUGUCCUUGUGCAGCUGUAACAUAAACAGUGACCGUGUGGUUUCCCCCAUUCACCCCUCUGUUAGGAAAAAGGGUAAAAACAAGCAUCUGUACUGUAAGAUACUCAUUAGAUUAAACUCAGAACACUGUCCCUAAACGGUUGAUAUAGAGAGCUGCUUUAGCUGAAUGUAACAAGGAAUUGCUGGAAUCAAAGUGAUGAAUCUACUAGUUUAACGCCUACUUUGUAAGCUUCGAAAACAGGACCCUGACUGUUGCAGUUCCAUAUUCAAGGUG